RNAcentral lists this ribosomal RNA (617 nucleotides) under Candidatus Auribacterota bacterium. RNAcentral's name for it is "bacterial SSU rRNA". It matches the Rfam family "Bacterial small subunit ribosomal RNA", at positions 1 to 578 of the family's 1533-position model. Lineage: Bacteria; Pseudomonadati; Candidatus Auribacterota. The record is from RNAcentral.
UUUUUGGAGAGUUUGAUCCUGGCUCAGAACGAACGCUGGCGGCGUGGAUAAGGCAUGCAAGUCGAACGGACCUAGUGUCCGGAUCCUUUCGGGGUGAAGGAUGCAAAGGUUAGUGGCAAAAGGGUGAGUAACACGUGAGUAACUUGCCUAUGGCUCGAGAAUAACUCGCCGAAAGGCGGGCUAAUACUGGAUAAUACUUUCAGGUUUCUUAUCUGAUUGUUAAAGGUGGCCUCUGACUUAAGCUACCGGCCGUAGAGAGGCUCGCGUCCUAUUAGCUAGUUGGUAGGGUAAAGGCCUACCAAGGCUCCGAUGGGUAGCCGGUCUGAGAGGACGAUCGGCCACACUGGGACUGAGACACGGCCCAGACUCCUACGGGAGGCUGCAGUCGAGAAUAAUUCGCAAUGGGGGAAACCCUGACGAUGCGACGCCGCGUGAGGGAUGACGGUCUUCGGAUUGUAAACCUCUGUCACUCGGAAAGAAAAGUAUGUACGUGAAUAAUGUACAUGCUUGACGGUACCGGGAGAGGAAGCUCCGGCUAACUCCGUGCCAGCAGCCGCGGUAAUACGGAGGGAGCAAGCGUUGUUCGGAUUUACUGGGCGUAAAGGGCGUGUAGGUGG